AACACUCGCUCCCACACGCAUUUCGUGAUCCCGCAUCUGCGUUUUCUUCCCUCCUCUCUCUCUUUCGCUCUCUAUCUCUCUCUCUCUCUACUGCCUUUAUGCUUCACUUCUCCGCCGAAUCCCUCUCUUCGUCCGUCGCUUCCUCCGAAAUCUGCCCAGCCAAAUCUCACACUUCUGCUUCGCUCCCGAUACGAACACCGCACUCUUCACUUCCGGCAUAUUUGUUUCUCGGAAACAGCAUUUCUUCUUCUUUUAGUUUCUGGAAAUCAUUCGGUCGAUUGAAAACUUUAGGGUUUAGAGAGGCAUGAGGCUGCACGAUGAGAUUGUACCGUUUCAUAGAAGCGGAAUACGAGGAGAUGAAGAAUAUGUGGAAGGAGAUGAAGAGGAGGAAAUUUCCUCUAUAGAAGCUGGGUUUCUUCCUCCUCAUCAUCCUUGUCCUCUCCAGAGGAAACUCGUUGUUGUUGGUUACGCUCUUACCUCCAAGAAAAUUAAGAGCUUCUUGCAGCCAAAGCUCGAGGGUUUAGCUAGGAAUAAAGGUAUAUUAUUUCUUGCAAUUGAUCAAAACAGGCCCCUUUCAGAUCAAGGCCCUUUUGACAUUGUUUUGCAUAAGCUAACUGGAAAGGAGUGGCGACAGAUUCUUGAGGACUACAGAAGGACUCAUCCAGAAGUCACUGUACUUGAUCCUCCAGAUGCUAUUCAACAUUUACACAAUCGUCAGUCUAUGCUUCAGUGUGUGGCUGAUAUGAAUCUAUCGAACUCCUAUGGUAAAGUAGAUAUUCCCAGGCAAUUAGUUAUCAAAAAGGAUGCAGCAUCCAUCCCUGACACAGUCACAAACGCUGGGCUGAUGCUACCAAUUGUUGCGAAGCCACUAGUUGCAGAUGGGAGUGCAAAGUCGCAUGAAUUAUCAAUUGCUUAUGAUCAACACUCCCUUAAGAAACUCGAACCUCCACUUGUUCUUCAGGAGUUUGUUAACCAUGGAGGUGUUCUCUUCAAAGUUUAUAUUGUAGGGGAGGCCAUUAAGGUGGUCCGGCGGUUCUCUUUACCUGAUGUCUGUAAACGGGAACUCUCCAAUAUUGCAGGUGUCUUCCGUUUUCCACGGGUUUCUUGUGCAGCAGCAUCUGCAGAUGAUGCUGAUUUGGAUCCUGGUGUUGCUGAGCUUCCUCCACAACCAUUGCUUGAGAGACUUGCAAAGGAACUUCGUCACCGACUUGUAGCUCUUCUGGUCUCCGGCUGUUUAAUUUGGAUAUAAUCCGAGAGCAUGGGACCAGAGAUCAAUUUUAUGUCAUUGACAUCAACUACUUCCCUGGAUAUGGGAAAAUGCCAGAAUAUGAGCAUAUAUUUACGGACUUCCUUUUGAGCCUGGGGCAGAGUCAAUACAAGAAAAGAUCCUCAUAGGAACUGUUGGGAAGUGUCGCUGACUUUGCAGUAUGUCAAAAACAUGAUGUUGCCUGAAUAAGUGUUUGCGGGUUGAGAGCUUUUUUGCUUUGCUAAACUAUGUAUAGCAUAAUGUAGUUCCUGCCAGCGGCUGGAGGAGGACAUGCGCAAAAUGCAAAUUCUUCCAACCUUCAACCUCUGUAACUAUUGACUUGCUGGUAGGACUCUGGCGCUUUCAUCUCCCUGACGCGAAGCUGGAUUUACUUAAUAUGAUAUGUUUGUCGUAUAAUUCUUUCAUGUUGUUCCAAUGUUUUAUGAGCAGUUUUGUGAAUCGUGAGAAGACACCACCUCAUAUUGUCUGUAGGCCGUGGCGGAACUAGAAAUGAAGGUGAAAAUCUUAAAAUUUUUUGUU
Molecule: RNA transcript, 1786 nt
Organism: Hevea brasiliensis (rubber tree)
Lineage: Eukaryota; Viridiplantae; Streptophyta; Magnoliopsida; Malpighiales; Euphorbiaceae
Gene name: inositol-tetrakisphosphate 1-kinase 3
Exons: 10
Source: RefSeq, a predicted model, not a curated record